This 431-nucleotide ribosomal RNA is filed under the name uncultured bacterium. Its description in RNAcentral is "partial 16S ribosomal RNA". It matches the Rfam family "Bacterial small subunit ribosomal RNA", at positions 29 to 507 of the family's 1533-position model. The record is from RNAcentral.
AACGAACGCUGGCGGCAGGCCUAACACAUGCAAGUCGAGCGCCCCGCCAGGGGAGCGGCGGCCGGGUGAGUAACGCGUGGGAAUAUGCCCUUUGCUACGGAAUAGUCUCGGGAAACUGGGGGUAAUACCGUAUACGCCCUUUGGGGGAAAGAUUUAUCGGCGAAGGAUUAGCCCGCGUUGGAUUAGGUAGUUGGUGGGGUAAUGGCCUACCAAGCCGACGAUCCAUAGCUGGUUUGAGAGGAUGAUCAGCCACACUGGGACUGAGACACGGCCCAGACUCCUACGGGAGGCAGCAGUGGGGAAUCUUAGACAAUGGGGGCAACCCUGAUCUAGCCAUGCCGCGUGAGCGAUGAAGGCCUUAGGGUUGUAAAGCUCUUUCAGCUGGGAAGAUAAUGACGGUACCAGCAGAAGAAGCCCCGGCUAACUCCGUG